CCAGCGACGCCGCGUGGGUGAKGAAGGCCUUCGGGUUGUAAAGCCCUUUCGUGCGGAACGAACAGUCUCGCGACUAAUACUCGCGGGAUUUGACGGUACCGCAGGAAGAKGCACCGGCUAACUCCGUGCCAGCAGCCGCGGUAAUACGGAGGGUGCAAGCGUUGUUCGGAAUUACUGGGCGUAAAGGGCGCGCAGGCGGUUGUGCAAGUCAGUUGUGAAAUCCCCCGGCUUAACCGGGGAACUGCAUCUGAAACUGCAUGACUCGAGUACAGAAGAGGGAAACGGAAUUCCCGGUGUAGAGGUGAAAUUCGUAGAUAUCGGGAGGAACACCAGUGGCGAAGGCGGUUUCCUGGUCUGAUACUGACGCUGAGGCGCGAAAGCGUGGGGAGCAAACAGGAUUAGAUACCCUGGUAGUCCACGCUGUAAACGGUGAGCACUAGGUGUGGGAGGUGUAAUACCUUCUGUGCCGUAGCAAACGCGUUAAGUGCUCCGCCUGGGAAGUACGGUCGCAAGACUAAAACUCAAAGGAAUUGACGG
Molecule: ribosomal RNA, 537 nt
Filed under: uncultured bacterium
Lineage: Bacteria
Description: bacterial SSU rRNA
Rfam family: Bacterial small subunit ribosomal RNA
Source: RNAcentral